This 497-nucleotide ribosomal RNA is filed under the name uncultured bacterium. RNAcentral's name for it is "partial 16S ribosomal RNA". It matches the Rfam family "Bacterial small subunit ribosomal RNA", at positions 28 to 507 of the family's 1533-position model. The record is from RNAcentral.
GAUGAACGCUGGCGGCGUGCCUAAUACAUGCAAGUCGAGCGAACGGACGAGAAGCUUGCUUCUCUGAUUUUAGCGGCGGACGGGUGAGUAACACGUGGAUAACCUACCUAUAAGACUGGGAUAACUUCGGGAAACCGUAGCUAAUACCGGAUAAUAUUUUGAACCGCAUUGUUCAAAAGUUAAAGACGGUCUUUCUUUCACUUAUAGAUUGAUCCGCGCUGCAUUAGCUAGUUGGUAAGGUAACGGCUUACCAAGGCAACGAUGCAUAGCCGACCUGAGAGGGUGGUCGGCCACACUGGAACUGAGAAACGGUCCAGACUCCUACGGGAGGCAGCAGUAGGGAAUCUUCCGCAAAGGGCGAAAGCCUGACGGAGCAACGCCGCGUGAGUGAUGAAGGUCUUCGGAUCGUAAAACUCUGUUAUUAGGGAAGAACAUAUGUGUAAGUAACUGUGCACAUCUUGACGGUACCUAAUCAGAAAGCCACGGCUAACUACGUG